Molecule: ribosomal RNA, 253 nt
Filed under: uncultured bacterium
Lineage: Bacteria
Description: partial 16S ribosomal RNA
Rfam family: Bacterial small subunit ribosomal RNA
Source: RNAcentral
UACGAAGGGGGCUAGCGUUGCUCGGAAUCACUGGGCGUAAAGCGCACGUAGGCGGAUCUUUAAGUCAGGGGUGAAAUCCUGGAGCUCAACUCCAGAACUGCCUUUGAUACUGGAGAUCUCGAGUCCGGAAGAGGUGAGUGGAACUCCGAGUGUAGAGGUGAAAUUCGUAGAUAUUCGGAAGAACACCAGUGGCGAAGGCGGCUCACUGGUCCGGUACUGACGCUGAGGUGCGAAAGCUAGGGGAGCAAACAGG